RNAcentral lists this long non-coding RNA (486 nucleotides) under Monodelphis domestica (gray short-tailed opossum). Its description in RNAcentral is "lncRNA (ENSMODG00000032385.2)". The record is from RNAcentral. Lineage: Eukaryota; Metazoa; Chordata; Mammalia; Didelphimorphia; Didelphidae.
CAACUUAUCACAAUACCAGAGUGAGCUAUAACUAGAUGUUGUGCCCUGGGAUGCAACUGCAGCAGGUCCUUUAUUUGGAGAAGAGACUUAGGAAUGGAGAAAGAACAAGAGAAGAUUCUAAGACAGAGAUGCCUGUGAUGUCAGAUGGUUUUCCGGGAGCUUCACCCAAUGCUGCAUUAGCAAGACUACUUGAGCUCAGAAUCUAGACAGUGGAUCACCAUUGCUAUAUGAAGCUGGCUCGUGCCAAUGUGCCUGCCCUCUGUGGCCAGGAGGUGUGGUUUUAAAAGUGACAUGGCCAACCGGCCAAGCCUACCACAGAUUCUUCCAUCACGCUGUAGAUUCUAAUGCCACUUCAACAUUUUCUAAUGCUUUUUUUUUUGUUGAGAAAGCUUGACUAUCUCCAUUGUUUAUGUUUCCCUUUGUUUAUUUGUUUUAUUUUGUUUUUGUUUUUCCAGGUUGGUAAAUAAAUCUGCUAGAUAUACUUCA